Molecule: ribosomal RNA, 256 nt
Filed under: uncultured bacterium
Lineage: Bacteria
Description: partial 16S ribosomal RNA
Rfam family: Bacterial small subunit ribosomal RNA
Source: RNAcentral
UACGAAGGGGGCUAGCGUUGUUCGGAUUUACUGGGCGUAAAGCGCACGUAGGCGGAUUGUUAAGUGAGGGGUGAAAUCCUCGGAGCUCAACUCCAGAACUGCCUUUCAUACUGGCAAUCUAGAAGUCCGGAAGAGGUAAGUGGAACUCCUAGUGUAGAGGUGGAAUUCGUAGAUAUUAGGAAGAACACCAGUGGCGAAGGCGGCUUACUGGUCCGGUACUGACGCUGAGGUGCGAAAGCUAAGGGGAGCAAACGGG